ACGAACGCUGGCGGCGUGCUUCACACAUGCAAGUCGAACGGAAAGGCCCCUUUGGGGGUACUCGAGUGGCGAACGGGUGAGUAACACGUGAGUAACCUGCCCUUGACUUCGGGAUAACUUCAGGAAACUGGGGCUAAUACCGGAUAGGAAUCCUUGCUGCAUGGUGGGGGUUGGAAAGCUUCGGCGGUUUUGGAUGGACUCGCGGCUUAUCAGCUUGUUGGUGGGGUAGUGGCUUACCAAGGCUUUGACGGGUAGCCGGCCUGAGAGGGCGACCGGCCACAUUGGGACUGAGAUACGGCCCAGACUCCUACGGGAGGCAGCAGGGGGGAAUAUUGCACAAUGGGCGGAAGCCUGAUGCAGCAACGCCGCGUGCGGGAUGACGGCCUUCGGGUUGUAAACCGCUUUCAGCAGGGGCGAAGCUUGUGGUGACGGUACCUGCAGAAGAAGCACCGGCUAACUACGUG
This 464-nucleotide ribosomal RNA is filed under the name uncultured bacterium. RNAcentral describes it as "partial 16S ribosomal RNA". It matches the Rfam family "Bacterial small subunit ribosomal RNA", at positions 29 to 507 of the family's 1533-position model. The record is from RNAcentral.